Molecule: ribosomal RNA, 253 nt
Filed under: uncultured bacterium
Lineage: Bacteria
Description: partial 16S ribosomal RNA
Rfam family: Bacterial small subunit ribosomal RNA
Source: RNAcentral
UACGAAGGGGGCUAGCGUUGCUCGGAAUCACUGGGCGUAAAGGGUGCGUAGGCGGGUCUUUAAGUCAGGGGUGAAAGCCUGGAGCUCAACUCCAGAAUUGCCUUUAAGACUGCAUCGCUUGAAUCAUGGAGAGGCGGGUGGAAUUCCGAGUGUAGAGGUGAAAUUCGUAGAUAUUCGGAAGAACACCAGUGGCGAAGGCGGCCCGCUGGACAUGUAUUGACGCUGAGGUGCGAAAGCGUGGGGAGCAAACAGG